GAACAUAUGAAAGAAUUUUGAAUUGUCACCUAAUUAUAGACAAGAGAUUUAGGAGAAUACAUUUGCAAAGUUGAGGAUAAAAGUCAGCACAAAAUAGCUGGUACAAAUUAGAAAUUACAUACAAAGCAGGUCCAGCCAGUGAAUUUAUUCUACUCUCUCCCAUCCUCAGUUCCCAAAUGUGUCGCACCUAAAUCCCCUUCCUCAACUUCUUCUAAACGUCUUCUUACAUGUUCUGGGUGCAGGACCAUGAACACCAGCAUUUUCAACUGCCAUUUCUAUGUGUGUUCUAUUUCUUGUUGCUGGUAGUCUCUUGACUUGGGGUUAGUUUUUCUUGAACCCAAAUUCUUGAAGCUUUACUCUCUCCUCCAAGUUUUUUCACUGUGUCACAUAAAACUGAAGUUUGACCUUCAACUUUCCCAGACAACAGGUCACCAAAAUUUUGAUCUUUUGGGACCUGCUGUUGUGGUGUAUUCGCCAACGAAGCAGC
RNAcentral lists this unclassified non-coding RNA (487 nucleotides) under Hevea brasiliensis (rubber tree). Lineage: Eukaryota; Viridiplantae; Streptophyta; Magnoliopsida; Malpighiales; Euphorbiaceae. The record is from RNAcentral.